UGUGAGUGAUGACUCUUUACUCCUGACUCCCAUAUGGAGGCAAAAACUGAUUUAAUGAGCCUGACAC
Molecule: small nucleolar RNA, 67 nt
Organism: Puntigrus tetrazona (Sumatra barb)
Lineage: Eukaryota; Metazoa; Chordata; Actinopteri; Cypriniformes; Cyprinidae
Source: RefSeq, a predicted model, not a curated record